ACGGGAGGCAGCAGUGGGGGAUAUUGCACAAUGGGGGAAACCCUGAUGCAGCGACGCCGCGUGAGCGAAGAAGUAUUUCGGUAUGUAAAGCUCUAUCAGCAGGGAAGAAAAUGACGGUACCUGACUAAGAAGCCCCGGCUAACUACGUGCCAGCAGCCGCGGUAAUACGUAGGGGGCAAGCGUUAUCCGGAUUUACUGGGUGUAAAGGGAGCGCAGACGGCGAGGCAAGUCUGAUGUGAAAGCUCGGGGCUCAACCCCGGAACUGCAUUGGAAACUGUUUUGCUAGAGUGUCGGAGAGGUAAGCGGAAUUCCUAGUGUAGCGGUGAAAUGCGUAGAUAUUAGGAGGAACACCAGUGGCGAAGGCGGCUUACUGGACGAUAACUGACGUUCAUGCUCGAAAGCGUGGGGAGCAAACAGGAUUAGAUACCCUGGUA
RNAcentral lists this ribosomal RNA (434 nucleotides) under uncultured Lachnospiraceae bacterium. Its description in RNAcentral is "bacterial SSU rRNA". It matches the Rfam family "Bacterial small subunit ribosomal RNA", at positions 341 to 792 of the family's 1533-position model. Lineage: Bacteria; Bacillati; Bacillota; Clostridia; Lachnospirales; Lachnospiraceae. The record is from RNAcentral.